GUUGGUGAACCAGCGGAGGGAUCAUUACCGAGUUACCAAACUCCAAACCCAAUGUGAACCUUACCAUAUCGUUGCUUCGGUGGGCGGCUCCGGGGGAGCCCUCCUGGCCUUGCGGUGCCCGCCGAAAGCCCCAAACUCUUCUUUUUUACAGCGGUACACACCUCUGAGUGACAAAAAACAAACAAGUAAAAACUUUCAACAACGGAUCUCUUGGUUCUGGCAUCGAUGAAGAACGCAGCAUCUGACUGAC
This 250-nucleotide unclassified non-coding RNA is filed under the name plant metagenome. Its description in RNAcentral is "partial contains small subunit ribosomal RNA, internal transcribed spacer 1, and 5.8S ribosomal RNA". The record is from RNAcentral.